GCUGGAGUCCAUCUUCUGAGCCUGGGAUAGGUUAUUGGCAGGUUUCCUACAAAAAUAUUGAAAAUUAUCACGAUGUUAGAAGAUGGAAGGAGUACUCAGAGCACAUGCCCCAUGAAGAGAGCCUGAGGUGGCAUUGCCAGUUUAGAUGGGCAAUGAGAAGUUUAAGGAGCAAUCUAAUUGCAACCUACAGCUUUCUGAAGUUACUAAAGUGGAAGACCAAACUCUCCUCAACUAUGGGAGGUAGCGUAACAAAAGGCAAUAACCAAGAAUUAUGGAUUGAAAGAUUCAGACAUCGGGAGAAACUUCAUCAGAUGAAUGGUGUUGCACUGGAACAGGUUAUACAUGGGUACUAUAGACACACUUAGAAGUAUUCAAGACCUGGAUAAGAAAAACCAUGGCUGACAUAGCUGGGUGAUGAGACAGUCAUACUUGGAGGGGGAGCACUAGACAAUGUGAUCCCUUGAUGUUCCUUCCAAACAGCAAAUCUAUGACUGUGAAGAACUGCAACAACAGAGAGGCUGAGGAUUCCCAGCUAGGGGUAGCUCAGCGCUAAUAGGCCCUCUCUGAGCCCAUGCUGCUGGGAAGCAGAAUGUGUUUGCUGUCCUAUGUGUUUCACAAAGGAGUACCACCUGGACCACCUGUCCACUACUUCAUCUGAAUGCCCCAAUGCUUAGUGUCGACUGGCCAAUCUACAAAAUCCAGCUCUGGUGGCUGAUGAAAUUCAGUAUUUUGGGAGAGAGCUGUGAGGAAGUCUGUAGCAGAGCCAUAAAGGAAAAAGCAGAAGGGUUAUAAAAUCCCAAAGAGAAAGACAAGGAGAAGAAGGACAGCACCCAGAGACUGAUGAAGACUUUGUCCAGCAGGUCUCUUUUGAUCCUUCAGUGAUCCAAGUCAACUGAAAUCUGAGACCUAGCAACUAACCACUGAAGAUGUGUGCUGUUCUCCACUCCACUAUAUAAUGUGUCCUGAGGAGAGCAAGGAAGCUGCUGGAAGGCACGUCCUGUGAAGAGAGGCUGAGAACACUCGACUUGCCCAAUCUGGAGAAGUGGAGGCCGAGAGGUGACCUUAUUGCUCCCAGUAGCUCCCAGAGGAGGUAGUGAGCUCUGCUUUUGAGAACUAAUGGUGGGAUAGGAAUAGCACCAGGAUAUAUCAGUGGAGGGUCAGACUGGGCAUUAGAAAGCAUUUAUUUAUCAUAAGGAUGGUCAAACAGUGGAACAGGCUUCUUAAGUGAAGUGGUUGAGGCCCUGCUCUCAUCAGUGCUCAAGAAAUGCAUGGACAAUAUCCCCAACAAUAUCUUUUAACUUGUGGUUAGCCCUGCAGUGGUCAGGCAGUUGGACUGGAUUAUAUUUGUAGCUCCAUUCCAACUGAACUAUUCUAUUCCACUCUAUUCAACUCUGCCAAAAUAAAAAGGGAAACUUUUUUUGAAGUUUUUCUGAAGUUUUGAUGACUAUUGAAAUUCUAAUUCCCCCUCAAAUGUCCAGAACUCAGUUGUAUGGCUGUUUGCUCAGAUGAAGUGGGGAUUUUUACCUCUGUUUUGAACAAAUAGGUGGACUUAUCAGGAAGAUGGCCUCAGAUAAAAAAAAAAACUUUCUUCCAGAUCUAUCAAAAAAUGAAAUAAAUUUAUUAAAAAAGAGUAUGCCCUCUCGAGGGCAAAGAAGAUAUUCUAAAUAGCUGACAAAAAGAAUAUCAGCAACAUAUGAUGGAUUAACUAUAGUAAUGAAUUAUUGCUGACCAUGCACAUUAUCUUGUCACACUGAAUUGCAUAAUAAUAUUAGUGGAUUUAACUGCAAAGAUAUUUUUGGAACUCACUGAACUGAAAGAAACCUGAAGAAAUAAACUGACUGAUAGAGAUGUUUGACUGUUUAAAACAAUGAAGCCUAUUUAUGAAAUCAUGCCCUUCAUCUUAGCUCAAAACUACAGAACUAAUGUCUUGUAGGAGUCACUUGAGCAUUUACCACAUUCUACCUAAAAGGGAGCAAGCACUGUGAUAGAUCCAGAUGGACAGAUGGGAGCCAUCUGUCACAAGGAGCUUGUGUCCCAAUAAAAAAGCAACUUGUUAGUUUGGGAACUUGUUCUUCAUUGCUAUUUUGUGAGACUUGACUUUAGGUUCCAUCACUUGCAUUCCUGGUAAUCCUUAGGGAGCUAAUCUCUCUUCACAGAAUAUUUGUGAAAUGUGAAAAUGUUAUGAGGAGUCAGAAGACUAGAUACUGACAGAUGCCUUUCUCUUAUCGAAAUCAACAGGAUGCAUCAGUAAGGAUCUUUAAGAUUCAGAGUUCAAAUCACUGCCCACUAUUUCAUAGGAAAUCCAGUGUGAGAUGAACUUAUGUGCACUCCACAGUUCCUGCUCUCUUACAGACUAAACCUUUCCUGAACUCAUGGUGCUAUUUCUAAAAUGUUGAAACAACAUUCAAUUCCCACAUGAGGAACCCGGCUCUUUGUUAAGCCAUGGACACACAGCACAAGAGCUGAAAUGCUGUAUAUAUUUGUAUCUUCUGGCCAAGAACAGCAGGGAAUGAGACAGCAGCAGCACAGGUAUGCUGUCUUAGUAAAAAUGCUUCAAUAUUAUUCACCAAACCCAGCUUGUUGUUAUAGUGGAUGUUUGCAUGAAGAAGAAUUGUUGCAUGAAGAAGUAUUCUCAACAAUUGAUCUCAGAAACAAAUUUGAUUCUCCACAUCUGCAGUAUGACCUGAUCAACAGCCAGAGCAAUGUGCUGGAAAGAGACAGUAACCUACACAGGCAGUGGUGAUGGUGAAGGAAACUGCAAGGGGCUCGGUUGAACAGAUCAGUUUGAUGUCUGCUCUCAGAAAUUCAUGUGUCUCCUGGGCAAAUUUCAGUUUUGAGAAGUGGUCCUUUUUAUAAGGCAUAAGCAUUAGAUAUGCUCAUAUCUCAGUCAAAGGCUUUCCUACUCAGUGCCAACUGUUAUUCAGCAGAGCUCAUUAUGCAGGUGAGAUGUAUCGCAGUGCUGCUACUCUGCAACACUCUGCAGAUCUCUAUGCGCCAUGUGCACAAUGUCUGAAAUAUAAGCAAAUUUAUGCUGCACUCAUCCUUUCUGUGGUUAUUAGUGUCAUUUAGUAUCAUCUUCCUCCACAAACUGACUCACCAAGCAAAAUGCACAAGUGCACUUUAGAGUAGAUCAUAUUAUCAUGCCUACUUCUGAAGAGUCAAGUGCCAUUGCUACUUUUCACAAGGAAUAACUGCCUAAACUAUUUCACAUUCUGCAGUGCAUCAACAAUAUACUUCCUCCAGUGAGUUAGCAAUUCAGAAGAGCAAUUGAACAGUAAUGCACAACUAUCAUACUGUUCUACAAUGGAGAGAUAAAGUCUAAUGCAUUGCUUUAUGCCUCUUAUAUGUUAGUACGUUCUUUUCUGGAGCCUUUUCAUCUAGAUAUGCAGUUGUAUCACUCCUAAGGUUCUGACUGUACCAAGAAAGCAUUACAUUGAAGAUAAUGCAUAAAAUAUAUUAGGAGUUUCUCUCUCAAUAUUAUUGUUGAGAUGAUAUGUAUUCCUAACUGCAGUUGAUUUCAGUCAGUUGUAGACCGAAAGCAACAAUGGUGGCCAAGUGCUGAGGGGAUUUUAUUUCAGAAAUAUUUUCACGUUACUCACUGGCAUUCUUUCUUCCUGCUUUAUUUUUUAGAGGGAGAAUAGAGCAUCAAAGAAAUACAGCAAAGAUGAAGACUUUUGAAAGGUUAAGAUUAUCGCAUUAAAAAUAAUAAUAAUAAUAAUUUGGAUAGUAGUUAUAGUCAGGAAAGGGGCUAAGAGUCUGAAGCGAGAGCAACCAAUAACCUAACAAGCUGAAAAACAAAGCCCAAGCCCAGUGUUCAUAUAGUAUAUUUAGAGCUAAAAGGCAGCGAGUACUUGAGUAAGACAAGCUGCAAAUACUCAAGAUCCUAAGCUAAAGGUUAAAUAAAUUGGAAUGAAAUGAAAGAACGGUGUUUUAGCCAGGGAUCAUAUUUUGCAAUGACACCUUGGGAUAGCAUCUUCUGUUUGAUUGCUGUGGCUGUCUCUACCCAGAACCACAUCAGUCCCCUGGGAGACUGACCGUGGUGGCUCAGUAGCUCCUUGCUCUUUGAUUGUUCGGGAGUGCUUGUCAAGAGGCUGUCAGGAGAAUCACCGAAGUACAGCUUGAGCUCUGUUCUCAGUGAAUUUCAGCAAGAUUGGCCUUUGUGCCUCUGAAAAUCUACCCCUUGUUCCCUACAAAGUGGUGACUUCCCAUGUGGUCUAUUAUUACAAUUACAUGUGUUUGGUGCUUUGUAUGGGCUCAUCUCACUCAUUACCACUGCACUUAACAUCAUGGCAAAAAAAGGGUAAGGAUUCCUUCCUGCAUUUGUAACUAAAGUGCUACCAUAGCAGAGGGUUUGUCUUGUCCAAGGUCUUUGUUAUGCAACUGCAUGCAGAUGUGAAUAGCAUCGUUUGCCUGGUUCAAUGACUCAGCACCUAGGUCGCCAGGUGUUUUUCAGCUAACGUUGAGACCAUAAGUCUAAUAAAUGUGCUUGGUAAUCACAUAAAGCAUAUUGCCGUAUUGCAGAUGUUAUUCUUUCAAAAGUAUUGGCAAACACAACUAAAACUCAGCCCAUGUGCAUGCUUUGACCUUUCUUAAGAAUGCACCAUCAAGAACCUCUGGCAGGUGAGACUGUUUAACCAGAGAAGACAUGGCAACAGCUGGAAAAUCAGUACAGCUAACAGCACCAUUGAAGUUUGCUUAGACUUAGUGUAUAAGUGGUGAAAUCAGAAUGGAAUCAGUGAAGGACAAGUUUUUGUCAGAGAAUAGAUUUUGAAAAGGAACAUAUCUACUAGUACUGCCAACAUAAGUAGAAGUCAAUUUCAUUUUACAGCAACCUAGGCAAGCUGUCAUGAAUGUUCUAGAUUAUUUUGGUAGAUGUUAUGUAGCAGCCUAUUCUUGCUGAUCCAGUGGCCUCUUGUUAUCUGCCAGAAAAUGCAUUAACCACCAAAUGCAUCAUGUCAUUGUGAGCUUUGCCAUUGCAUGCUUGUGAUUUCCAUAAGAUUUAUUGGAUGCUGCAAUCACUGUACUCUUUGAAAACAUAUACAUCAUCUCCUAGACUGGGUCAAUAGUUUGCUAGUGUUAAGACCUCAGAAAGCAGUGAUGUACUGCCCAGAACUUGUUGCAGCUCCACUGUCUUGAAAUUUAUCAUGUAUAUUUGGUACCAGGCAUGAACAAGCCCACAACAGCUUGACUACUAAAUAUGCUCCUGACAAUAGGGGAGGAAAGGAAAUUUAAAGCACAAAAUUUAUUGAAUUUUUCCUUCAUUUAUACCCAUUAAAAAUAGAAAUAAAGGUCAGUAGUUCAACAUUACUGCAAAAUUCACUUAAGAUCAUUCUGUGGACAGGAAAUGCCAACAUGUAGAGGUAGCUGCUUAGUAAGGGGCUGAAAUAACAUUGUGGCAACAGAUAACAAAGCUGUUAUGUUUCCUCAAAUGGCAUAUUCAGUACUGUUAUGAAAUCAGUUUCUAAAAAACAGAAAAACUUUACCCUUCAUUAAUAGAGCUAUUUCAUCAAGACAGGCAGAGUGUGUCCAAUUCACUGUGUCAGCAGCAUUUGACCCUCAGUUCAGUUUACCAAUAAGUAAACUAUUCUAGGCCUGUAUUAUAACCUUUUAAAGAUGAUAUCCGACAAGAUGAUUUUUGAUAAAUAACACAAUCUUUUACUACAAACCUGUUCCUUGGCUUAUCAAGGAGACCAGUUUCUGGGAUGCAACCCAACAUUUUGUAAGCAGUGGCUGUUCAGAUACUCGUUUUAUCAUCAUUUCCUGCUCCAAGCCAUACAACAGUCUUCCCUCAGUCAAAAUACGUAGGUUUAACACUCUUUCGUGUCCUAUAACAUUAUAACAGCAAAAUGCUUAGACUACAGCAAAAUGCUUCCAGCUGGUUUCUGAAGGUGACCUUGAGGAUGUCUGGCACACACCAGAGACAGUGGAAGACAGGUGAACACUCUGUUCCCUUACUACUUGAAUCUGCCAUUACAAAUAACAUCCAGGAGCUAAAAAACUAUGGAGCUUUGUGUGCAAACAUGCAUUAGGAAUUGAAGUUUUAUAUGCAUGCAGAGAAAAUCAAGAAACCAAAGACAGAUCAGCAACUUUCCUCCUCCAAAACCAUUUAUUCCUUUUACUUUGAAGCUUAUAUUUAAGUCUUCUGUUUUUGUAACUCUUCAGGGUGGGAAGCAUGAAUUAAAAAUCAGUCCGUGACCCAUUAUUAUUUUAUAAUCCUCUCUUUGGCAAGUUGAAAGCAAUAGCUUGCCAGACUUGUAUUAAAUUUUCAUGGAAUGAUGUGAGGGAGUGAAAUACA
This is a non-coding RNA of Meleagris gallopavo (turkey), 6295 nucleotides long. The record is from RefSeq and is a predicted model, not a curated record. Lineage: Eukaryota; Metazoa; Chordata; Aves; Galliformes; Phasianidae.